CGGCUUUAUAUUGAGAGCCAGCUGAACUUUGGGUGUAGAAUUGUGUUGACAUAGAAGUAGUGCUAUUUGGAACUGUGUUUGUAAAACUAAAGAAGUACAAAUGAUGCAGAGAAGAGAGAAGAGAAAGUAGUCUACAAAAAGAUGGCUACCAGUAAUAUUUGCUCUCCAAAUUCUCCUUCUACAAAAUAAAGUGCUUAAACCUACAUUUAUAAACCCAUUAAAAUCCCAUUUGAAAGGCAAAUAUAGUGUACCUGCACACCACAUCCAACAUAUUAUGGAGAACUAACAAAAGACACUAACAUUAAACAAUGUAAUAAAACACAAAUACGAAAGUGAAGUUGUUUUUAUUGAUAAAAACACAGUAUUUUUAGCAAUAACUGGUUCUUUAAUGUCAUUCUUUUCAUUCUGCUAAACAUCAGCCUUAUCUCCAAAAAGUGAACUUUUAUACUUGAAAAGGUUAGUUGUUGGGUUAAACUUGCAUAUGCAGAUGCUCAUAUACCUACAAAAAGUGAACUUUUACUUUCCUAUGCUGCAAUAAGUGAACUUUUAAUUUGAAAAUAAAUGUAAACAUGAAAAAAGGGUUCAUUAUAUGUUCUUAAUUUGUUAUGUAUCUAACCAAAAAGUUCAGUUUCUUUCAAACUUCCAAUAGAUAUAAAAAAGUUCAGUUUGAAGCAGAAAAAAAAAAUCAUAGAACAACUAAUAACAAAGCAGAAAAAAAUGAAGCAAAUAUCAGAGAACAACUAAUACAACAAUGAGGUGAAAACCUAAUAUAAGUAUCUUGCCAAGUUUGGGUUCCAUAGAAAGUACAAAUGUUGAUCACGUCAAAGGGAAAUAAGAUGUGAGACAAAACAGUGGAGAUGGUGUUAGAAGAAAAUAAAAAGUGAAAGAAGUAAGCAGCUGACAAUCAAAAUUAACCAAACUAAGAAUUUUCUCAAUUUAGCUCUUUGAAAGUUUUACAUUACAUACUAAUACCUUGCAUUGUGCUUAUCUUAGCACCUUGCAUUUUUCUUCCCUCAAUGGUGGCCAAUUGUUAGCAAUGAUAAUCAAUUUCCUUGCAAAAAAUUUAAAAAUGUUAACAAACAAAAUUCACAAUAAUAAUCAAUGAGUUUAGCAAAGUACUCAUAAUUCAAUA
RNAcentral lists this long non-coding RNA (1132 nucleotides) under Trifolium pratense (red clover). RNAcentral describes it as "long non-coding RNA (TPRA_LNC007182)". The record is from RNAcentral. Lineage: Eukaryota; Viridiplantae; Streptophyta; Magnoliopsida; Fabales; Fabaceae.